RNAcentral lists this ribosomal RNA (524 nucleotides) under uncultured bacterium. RNAcentral's name for it is "partial 16S ribosomal RNA". It matches the Rfam family "Bacterial small subunit ribosomal RNA", at positions 355 to 895 of the family's 1533-position model. The record is from RNAcentral.
UGGGGAAUAUUGCACAAUGGGCGAAAGCCUGAUGCAGCAACGCCGCGUGAGUGAUGAAGGCCUUCGGGUUGUAAAGCUCUGUCUUUUGGGACGAUAAUGACGGUACCAAAGGAGGAAGCCACGGCUAACUACGUGCCGGCAGCCGCGGUAAUACGUAGGUGGCAAGCGUUGUCCGGAUUUACUGGGCGUAAAGGAUGCGUAGGCGGAUUUUUAAGUGAGAUGUGAAAACCCUAAGCUUAACUUGGGGACUGCAUUUCAUACUGGAAAUCUAGAGUGCGGGAGAGGAGAAUGGAAUUCCUAGUGUAGCGGUGAAAUGCGUAGAGAUUAGGAAGAACACCAGUGGCGAAGGCGAUUCUCUGGACCGUAACUGACGCUGAGGCAUGAAAGCGUGGGUAGCAAACAGGAUUAGAUACCCUGGUAGUCCACGCCGUAAACGAUGAGUACUAGGUGUAGGAGGUAUCGACCCCUUCUGUGCCGCAGUUAACACAAUAAGUACUCCGCCUGGGAAGUACGAUCGCAAGAUU